UACGACUACAUAUCAGGCAUAUCAAUAAGCGGAGGAAAAGAAACUAACAUAGGAUUCCCUCAGUAACGGCGAGUGAAGCGGGAAGAGCUCAAAUUUGAAAUCUUCAAGGUUUUACCUUGACGAAUUGUAGUUUAAAGAAGUGCUUUUCUGUUGAAGUUUUGGUAAAAGUUCUUUGGAAUAGGACAUCAUAGAGGGUGAGAAUCCCGUAUUUGACCAUUAUUUCCAGCUGUGUGAUACACUUUCAAAGAGUCGGAUUGUUUGGGAAUGCAGUCCAAAAUGGGUGGUAAAUUUCAUCUAAAGCUAAAUAUUGGCGAGAGACCGAUAGCGAACAAGUACCGUGAGGGAAAGAUGAAAAGAACUUUGAAAAGAGAGUUAAACAGUACGUGAAAUUGUCAAGAGGGAAGCGUUUGACACCAGUGUUGUUUUCUCGAAAAUCAAUUAAAAAUAGUUGGAUUUUGUGUUGUAUUGACCUUAACAGCUUGCUUCACUCUUUUCCAGCUUUUUUUAAUGCACUUUUCGUUUAACAAGUCAACAUCAGUUUCUUUUGUUGUAAAAGGGUCAUUGGAAGGUGGCUUGCGCUUCGGCUCAAGUGUUUAUAGCCUUUUAUCUCUGCAGUCGGAGAGAUUGAGGUCUGCAGCGUAGACUCUUCGGGGUUAGAUACGUCGGUGCUAAGCUAUAGCCUUUCAUAGACAACUUGUUGACUAUGUUUAGUCAUGUGGCUUACCCGCUGGCGCUAUUUUACCUACGCUUAGGAUGUUGAGCGCAUGUCUCUCUCU
Molecule: ribosomal RNA, 776 nt
Filed under: uncultured Neocallimastigales
Lineage: Eukaryota; Fungi; Neocallimastigomycota; Neocallimastigomycetes; Neocallimastigales
Description: partial large subunit ribosomal RNA
Rfam family: Eukaryotic large subunit ribosomal RNA
Source: RNAcentral